This 114-nucleotide ribosomal RNA is filed under the name Microcebus murinus (gray mouse lemur). The record is from RNAcentral. Lineage: Eukaryota; Metazoa; Chordata; Mammalia; Primates; Cheirogaleidae.
GGCUAUGGCCAUACCACCUUGAACAUGCCUGAUCUCAUCUGAUCUCGGAAGUGUAAGCAGGGCCGGCCCUGGUUAGUACUUGGAUGGGAGGCCCCCUUUCUAUUGGAAUAGUUU